GCAGAGCCCAGGCGCGUGGGUCGGUGUCGGGUGUGUGUGUACGUCUGUGUGUGUAAUGAAACUGGACGCCUUCCUUCCCGGCGAUCUUGACUUAACCUGUCAGCAGAGGGCUUGAGGUUAGACCACAGGUUGAACCUAGGUGGCUGCUGGAGAGGGUCACCUCAUUGCCCAAGAUGGCUGCUGGAGCCCCAGCCAGCAGGAAGGAAGAAGAAAGCCUGAAGAAGGACAUGCCCCUUCCCUUCAAGGAAGCUUCCUAGAAGUCACACUUAUAUUCCAUUGGCCAGAACUCAGUCAUCUAGCCAUACCUAGCUGCAAGGGAAGCUAGGUAGUCUAGUCUUUAUUCCAUGGGGGUCUGGCUAAAAGUUGGGAAAUAAACGAGGAAUGGAUAUUAGGAGACAGGAUCUGCCACAAAGCCUCUUUGUUCCUUUUAGAUUGCAACUGCCAGAGGGUAAGUGGGGCCUUCCCAACGCCCUGCCUCAAGCAAUCCUGGUUCUCUCCCUUCUCUGAGGUCUCAGUUCUUCCCUGAUACUCAGUAGUUACUGCCUGGAGCUGCUAAAGGCAGCAGCACAAUGCCACAUCCGGCUGCCGUUGGCUGUUGUCCACCGUCUGCAGAUCCAGGCCAGUGCACUCACUUAUCUCACAACAGCUCAACAGGCAGCUAGUCUUAGUCCCAUUUUAUAGUUGAGAAAUUGAGGCCUAAAGAGGUUAAGUAACUUGCCCAAGAGCACGCAGCUGGGCUCUGAGCCCAGUUCCUGUGUGUUUCUUUCUUUCCUGUUGAGCCUUCCCUGUAGGGGUGGAUGCCCUGGGCCUUCUCAGGGUCUGACAAGAGGAACUGGAAUGGUCUGAGCCCUAGGAGGGGCCUGUCUGGGAGGAGAGGGCAGGCAGGGGCGUGACCUGGGUCCUCA
Molecule: long non-coding RNA, 905 nt
Filed under: Homo sapiens (human)
Lineage: Eukaryota; Metazoa; Chordata; Mammalia; Primates; Hominidae
Description: HSALNT0334380
Source: RNAcentral